Long non-coding RNA from Platichthys flesus (European flounder), 860 nucleotides. RefSeq lists it as uncharacterized. NCBI's taxonomy places the organism in Eukaryota, Metazoa, Chordata, Actinopteri, Pleuronectiformes, Pleuronectidae. The transcript has 3 exons. The record is from RefSeq and is a predicted model, not a curated record.
CCGGAAGUAGUCGUACCGGCAAAAUAGAGUCAGGGCUGAGUAUCUGUAGUCACGUGUUCACCUUUCUGUGGUUCACCUGUGUGAUGAUUCCAGGAGGAAGAAACGUGAGCUGUGUAGGAGGUGAGAUGGGGCCUGUGGGAGUCCAGGUGUGGUGGCUUCACUGGAGUCAAAGACAGCUGAUCUCUGGGCUCUGGUGCAGAUGACACAAGUUUUUCAAGGCCAAACCUCUUGAAAGGCACUUUUCAAAAAGAAGAAGCAGGAGGCGGCCAUAGAUCAUUUUGUUUGUCCUGUCCAGAGUCGUUUGUCUCGACCUGUCUCGUAACGCUGGACGGCUGCUGCCCCCUGCUGAGACCUGAGCUCUUUGUGUUUGUCAUUCUGUCCUCUUUCUAAAAGUGUCCUUGUACUUUGUGAUUAUCCACCCCGACAUUAAUUACACAACUUUCGGUGUCAGAGUUUCUGUAUCAGCACUUAUUUAAUCACUAUCUAUUAAAUAACCAUUUAAACAUAAAUUCAGUGAAGUAAAGAUAAAGAAUACCAGAACUGAAACCUUUAUCUGAGUUAUGAGACAUGAUAAAAAAACUUUUACAAUCCUGCAAAUCCUGUCUAUUAUUAAGGCUGUGUUCUUUCUUGUUUAUCUGCAAAUUAUGCAGGAUUAUUCAUUUUAUACCAGGUUAUAUAAAGAUUUAAUGUGUCUUCAUUUCAUCCUGUUGUAUGCAAAUAAAACCCGAAAUGUCCUGGAUACAAAUGACGCCAUAUUACGCUUUUGACCUCAAAAUGGACUCAUCCGUCAGUGUCAGCUGUCAAUCAUGAUGUUUCCACCCGUCUUUAUAGCAUCAAAUAAAUAAACACUUGAACAAAUA